UGUCUUUCACAGACAUUGAGGUUUUGCCAAAAUCUGUGUCUGAGUUGAGUACCCUCACUGCUUUGUUGCUAACAUCUUGUAAGCGAUUAAAGCACAUGCCUUCACUAGCAAAGCUUCAGUCCUUACUAAGGUUAGACCUAUCUUUUACUGCAAUCACAGAAAUGCCUCAAGGUUUGCAAACGUUAGUAAACCUUAAAUGGCUUAAUCUUUAUGCAAAAGAUUUGGUGUCAUCAGGAAAACAAAUAGCAAAAUUGACUCGUCUCCAAUUUCUUAUUCUCCAUUGGUGGUCAAGAAAGAUAAAAGUGAAAGUAGAGUAUAUAUCAUGCCUGAGAAAGUUGGAAACUUUUGCAGCUAACUUGUACAACAUGCACCAUUUCAAUGCCUAUGUGAAAAUAAUGCAUAUAUAUGGACCUAGAAGUUACCUUCUUCAGUUAGACACUGAAGAAUCUCUUGGUAACUCUCCGUGGUGUUGUUUUGCUGAGGUUUGUUUGAGGAAGGAUGUGAUAAUUUCAAAUUGCAAAAUCAGAACAGGAGAAACGCCCCUUAUCC
Molecule: long non-coding RNA, 549 nt
Filed under: Phaseolus vulgaris (common bean)
Lineage: Eukaryota; Viridiplantae; Streptophyta; Magnoliopsida; Fabales; Fabaceae
Description: long non-coding RNA (PVUL_LNC003055)
Source: RNAcentral